This 468-nucleotide ribosomal RNA is filed under the name uncultured bacterium. Its description in RNAcentral is "partial 16S ribosomal RNA". It matches the Rfam family "Bacterial small subunit ribosomal RNA", at positions 28 to 507 of the family's 1533-position model. The record is from RNAcentral.
GACGAACGCUGGCGGCGUGCUUAACACAUGCAAGUCGAACGGAAAGGCCCUGCUUUUGUGGGGUGCUCGAGUGGCGAACGGGUGAGUAACACGUGAGUAACCUGCCCUUGACUUUGGGAUAACUUCAGGAAACUGGGGCUAAUACCGGAUAGGAGCUCCUGCUGCAUGGUGGGGGUUGGAAAGUUUCGGCGGUUGGGGAUGGACUCGCGGCUUAUCAGCUUGUUGGUGGGGUAGUGGCUUACCAAGGGUUUGACGGGUAGCCGGCCUGAGAGGGUGACCGGCGACAUUGGGACUGAGAGACGGACCAGACUGCUACGGGAGGCAGCAGUGGGGAAUAUUGCACAAUGGGCGGAAGCCUGAUGCAGCAACGCCGCGUGCGGGAUGACGGCCUUCGGGGUGUAAACCGCUUUCGCCUGUGACGAAGCGUGAGUGACGGUAAUGGGUAAAGAAGCACCGGCUAACUACGUG